UGGGGAAUUUUGGACAAUGGGCGCAAGCCUGAUCCAGCCAUGCCGCGUGCGGGAAGAAGGCCUUCGGGUUGUAAACCGCUUUUGUCAGGGAAGAAAUCUUCUGAGUUAAUACCUCGGGAGGAUGACGGUACCUGAAGAAUAAGCACCGGCUAACUACGUGCCAGCAGCCGCGGUAAUACGUAGGGUGCAAGCGUUAAUCGGAAUUACUGGGCGUAAAGCGUGCGCAGGCGGUUUUGUAAGACAGAGGUGAAAUCCCCGGGCUCAACCUGGGAACUGCCUUUGUGACUGCAAGGCUUGAGUGCGGCAGAGGGGGAUGGAAUUCCGCGUGUAGCAGUGAAAUGCGUAGAUAUGCGGAGGAACACCGAUGGCGAAGGCAAUCCCCUGGGCCUGCACUGACGCUCAUGCACGAAAGCGUGGGGAGCAAACAGGAUUAGAUAGCCCUGGUAGUCCACGCCCUAAACCGAUGUCAACUGGUUGUUGGGAAGGUUCCUUCUCAGUAACGUAGCUAACGCGUGAAGUUGACCGCCUGGGGAGUACGGCCGCAAGGUUGAAAC
Molecule: ribosomal RNA, 554 nt
Filed under: uncultured bacterium
Lineage: Bacteria
Description: partial 16S ribosomal RNA
Rfam family: Bacterial small subunit ribosomal RNA
Source: RNAcentral